AUGGAAAGUAUUUGUUUUGUCUUCUGUGCCAAUGCUUUUCUUAUUCGAACCUUCUUUCCUUUUUCUAUUUUUAAAGAAUAUAUUGCAUCAUUUUUUUUGGUGAAACUACUUCGCAAAGACAAAAAGAAAAGGAGAAGCAAAUGCAGCGGAUUUUUUCAAACAUGUCUACAGGAGAGGGGGGUGGGCGAAGAAAGUGCAAUGCAAAUGAAAUUACGAAACACCUCAAGCAAUAUAGAAGAAAUAAUAUGUGCAAAGUAUUAUAUCCAGUCACCGGAACGGAAUUGUUACUCACAACAACAAGAGGAUGUGUCGAUGUUCCAAACUGAUGGCCCGGAUAGGCCAAUGAGUAAGGCGGGAUCAUCUGUAGGAAAUUAA
RNAcentral lists this ribosomal RNA (375 nucleotides) under Triticum aestivum (bread wheat). Its description in RNAcentral is "partial small subunit ribosomal RNA". Lineage: Eukaryota; Viridiplantae; Streptophyta; Magnoliopsida; Poales; Poaceae. The record is from RNAcentral.